Molecule: ribosomal RNA, 301 nt
Filed under: uncultured bacterium
Lineage: Bacteria
Description: partial 16S ribosomal RNA
Rfam family: Bacterial small subunit ribosomal RNA
Source: RNAcentral
CAGUCGCCACGGUAAUACAGAGGGUGCGAGCGUUAAUCGGAUUUACUGGGCGUAAAGCGUGCGUAGGCGGCUUCUUAAGUCGGAUGUGAAAUCCCUGAGCUUAACUUAGGAAUUGCAUUCGAUACUGGGAAGCUAGAGUAUGGGAGAGGAUGGUAGAAUUCCAGGUGUAGCGGUGAAAUGCGUAGAGAUCUGGAGGAAUACCGAUGGCGAAGGCAGCCAUCUGGCCUAAUACUGACGCUGAGGUACGAAAGCAUGGGGAGCAAACAGGAUUAGAUACCCCGGUAGUCCAUGUCUCUUAUAA